UAACAGGAAUUCCCCUAGUAACUGCGAGUGAAGCGGGAUGAGCUCAAAUUUUGAAUCUGGCGGUCUUCCGGCCGUCCGAGUUGUAAUCUAGAGAAGCGUUGUCCGCGCUGGCCCGUGUACAAGUCUCCUGGAAAGGAGCGUCAUAGAGGGUGAGAAUCCCGUCUUUGACACGGACUACCAGUGCUGUGUGACGCGCUCUCGACGAGUCGAGUUGUUUGGGAAUGCAGCNNNGGAAAGAUGAAAAGAACUUUGGAAAGAGAGUUAAACCGUACGUGAAAUUGCUGAAAGGGAAACGCUUGAUGUCAGUCGCGUCUGCCAGGGAUCAACCUUGCUUCUCGCUGGGUGUACUUCCUGGUCGACGGGUCAGCGUCGGUUUCGGUCGCCGUACAAAGCGAGGGGAACGUGGCACUCUCCGGAGUGUGUUAUAGCCCUUCGUCGCAUGCGGUGGUCGGGACUGAGGAACUCGGCACGGCUUCGGUCUGUGCUUAGGAUGCUGGCAUAAUGGCCUUAAGCGACCCGUCUUGAAACACGGACCAAGGAGUCUAACAUGCCUGCGAGUGUUUGGGUGGCAAACUCGAGCGCGAAAUGAAAGUGAAAGUCGAGACCUCUGUCGUGGAGGGCAUCGACGCCCGGACCCGAGUCUUCGACGAAGGAUCUGCGGUAGAGCAUGCAUGUUGGGACCCGAAAGAUGGUGAACUAUGCCUGAAUAGGGUGAAGCCAGAGGAAACUCUGGUGGAGGCUCGUAGCGAUUCUGACGUGCAAAUCGAUCGUCGAAUUUGG
RNAcentral lists this ribosomal RNA (780 nucleotides) under Xerocomellus porosporus. RNAcentral describes it as "partial 28S large subunit ribosomal RNA". It matches the Rfam family "Eukaryotic large subunit ribosomal RNA", at positions 66 to 914 of the family's 3401-position model. The record is from RNAcentral. Lineage: Eukaryota; Fungi; Basidiomycota; Agaricomycetes; Boletales; Boletaceae.